This 750-nucleotide ribosomal RNA is filed under the name Microbacterium sp. RNAcentral's name for it is "bacterial SSU rRNA". It matches the Rfam family "Bacterial small subunit ribosomal RNA", at positions 110 to 871 of the family's 1533-position model. The record is from RNAcentral. Lineage: Bacteria; Bacillati; Actinomycetota; Actinomycetes; Micrococcales; Microbacteriaceae.
GUAACACGUGAGCAACCUGCCCCGGACUCUGGGAUAAGCGCUGGAAACGGCGUCUAAUACCGGAUAUGAGACGUGAUCGCAUGGUCAACGUCUGGAAAGAUUUUUCGGUCUGGGAUGGGCUCGCGGCCUAUCAGCUUGUUGGUGAGGUAAUGGCUCACCAAGGCGUCGACGGGUAGCCGGCCUGAGAGGGUGACCGGCCACACUGGGACUGAGACACGGCCCAGACUCCUACGGGAGGCAGCAGUGGGGAAUAUUGCACAAUGGGCGGAAGCCUGAUGCAGCAACGCCGCGUGAGGGACGACGGCCUUCGGGUUGUAAACCUCUUUUAGCAAGGAAGAAGCGAAAGUGACGGUACUUGCAGAAAAAGCGCCGGCUAACUACGUGCCAGCAGCCGCGGUAAUACGUAGGGCGCAAGCGUUAUCCGGAAUUAUUGGGCGUAAAGAGCUCGUAGGCGGUUUGUCGCGUCUGCUGUGAAAACCCGAGGCUCAACCUCGGGCCUGCAGUGGGUACGGGCAGACUAGAGUGCGGUAGGGGAGAUUGGAAUUCCUGGUGUAGCGGUGGAAUGCGCAGAUAUCAGGAGGAACACCGAUGGCGAAGGCAGAUCUCUGGGCCGUAACUGACGCUGAGGAGCGAAAGGGUGGGGAGCAAACAGGCUUAGAUACCCUGGUAGUCCACCCCGUAAACGUUGGGAACUAGUUGUGGGGUCCAUUCCACGGAUUCCGUGACGCAGCUAACGCAUUAAGUUCCCCG